Molecule: ribosomal RNA, 490 nt
Filed under: uncultured bacterium
Lineage: Bacteria
Description: partial 16S ribosomal RNA
Rfam family: Bacterial small subunit ribosomal RNA
Source: RNAcentral
AUUGAACGCUGGCGGCAGGCCUAACACAUGCAAGUCGAACGGUUACAGGGAGAUGCCUCCUUCUUUGCUGGCCAGAGGCGUACGUAAGAGUAAUGAAUGGGAAACUGACUGGUGGAUGGGGAUAAGUACUGGACGCGGUAACCACUACCGCAUUACGUCGCAAGGCCAAGGAUGGGGACAUUCCGGCCUCUCACCUUCGCAUAUGUCCAGUUGGGAUUAGCUAGUAGGUGGGGUAAAGGCACACCUAGGCGACGAUCCCUACCUGGUCUGAGAGGAUGAACAGCCACACUGGAACUGAGACACGGUCCAGACUCCUACGGGAGGCAGCAGUGGGGAAUAUUGCACAAUGGGCGCAAGCCUGAUGCAGCCAUGCCGCGUGUAUGAAGAAGGUCUUCGGGUUGUAAAGUACUUUCAGCGGGGAGGAAGGGAAUAAAGUUAAUACCUUGGUUUAUUGACGUUACCCGCAGAAGAAGCACCGGCUAACUCCGUG